RNAcentral lists this ribosomal RNA (253 nucleotides) under uncultured bacterium. RNAcentral's name for it is "partial 16S ribosomal RNA". It matches the Rfam family "Bacterial small subunit ribosomal RNA", at positions 524 to 776 of the family's 1533-position model. The record is from RNAcentral.
UACGGAGGGAACUAGCGUUGUUCGGAUUUACUGGGCGUAAAGGGCGCGUAGGCGGUCUGUUAAGUUAGAAGUGAAAGCCUGGGGCUUAACCCCAGAACUGCUUCUAAAACUGGCAAACUAGAGUGCGGGAGAGGAUAGUGGAAUUCCUAGUGUAGAGGUGAAAUUCUUAGAUAUUAGGAGGAACACCGGUGGCGAAAGCGACUAUCUGGAACGCAACUGACGCUGAGGCGCGAAAGCGUGGGGAGCAAACAGG